Molecule: signal recognition particle RNA, 264 nt
Filed under: uncultured Clostridium sp.
Lineage: Bacteria; Bacillati; Bacillota; Clostridia; Eubacteriales; Clostridiaceae
Description: Bacterial large signal recognition particle RNA
Rfam family: Bacterial large signal recognition particle RNA
About the family: The signal recognition particle (SRP) is a universally conserved ribonucleoprotein involved in the co-translational targeting of proteins to membranes. Archaeal SRP consists of a 7S RNA and homologues of the eukaryotic SRP19 and SRP54 proteins.
Source: RNAcentral
CGUACUAGAUGGGGAGUCAGCGGUGCCCUGUAACCUGCAAUCCGCUAUAGCAGGAUUGAAUUCCUUGCUUAGGUUUUAAUCUGUAUGGUCUGGCCUAUUUAAGUGGCGUUGAGAAUUGGGCCCCACGCAAUGAAAACUCAUGAACCUCGUCAGGUCUGGAAGGAAGCAGCGAUAAGUGAGACCUUUCAUGUGCCGUGGGUCAACCUGGUUUGAGUUAACUGGAUAGGUAACGCGUAUAGAUUAAUUAUCAAAGCAAGGUGUACG